RNAcentral lists this ribosomal RNA (205 nucleotides) under Clostridioides difficile. Its description in RNAcentral is "partial 23S ribosomal RNA". It matches the Rfam family "Bacterial large subunit ribosomal RNA", at positions 216 to 427 of the family's 2925-position model. Lineage: Bacteria; Bacillati; Bacillota; Clostridia; Peptostreptococcales; Peptostreptococcaceae. The record is from RNAcentral.
AGAAAGAAAUUCGAUUCCGUAAGUAGCGGCGAGCGAACGCGGAUUAGCCCAAACCAAUAAAGUUUUCUUUAUUGGGGUUGCGGACAUAUCAUAACGAAGAGGGAUCGUAAUUGAAGAGGUUUGGAAAGACCCACCACAGAAGGUAAUAGUCCUGUAUGUUAAACGAGAAGACUUUAGAUAUGAUCCAGAGUACCACGGGACACGU